This 469-nucleotide ribosomal RNA is filed under the name uncultured Propionibacterium sp. RNAcentral describes it as "bacterial SSU rRNA". It matches the Rfam family "Bacterial small subunit ribosomal RNA", at positions 26 to 507 of the family's 1533-position model. The record is from RNAcentral. Lineage: Bacteria; Bacillati; Actinomycetota; Actinomycetes; Propionibacteriales; Propionibacteriaceae.
UCGAGGACGAACGCUGGCGGCGUGCUUAACACAUGCAAGUCGAACGGAAGGCCUCUUCGGGGGUACUCGAGUGGCGAACGGGUGAGUAACACGUGAGUAACCUGCCCUUUGACUUUGGGAUAACUUCAGGAAACUGGGGCUAAUACCGGAUAGGAGCUCCUGCUGCAUGGUGGGGGUUGAAAGUUUCGGCGGUUGGGGAUGGACUCGCGGCUUAUCAGCUUGUUGGUGGGGUAGUGGCUUACCAAGGCUUUGACGGGUAGCCGGCCUGAGAGGGUGACCGGCCACAUUGGGACUGAGAUACGGCCCAGACUCCUACGGGAGGCAGCAGUGGGGAAUAUUGCACAAUGGGUGGAAGCCUGAUGCAGCAACGCCGUGUGCGGGAUGACGGCCUUCGGGUUGUAAACCGCUUUCGCUCAUGACGAAGCUUUGUGUGACGGUAGUGGGUAAAGAAGCACCGGCUAACCACGUG